This 505-nucleotide ribosomal RNA is filed under the name Pseudamnicola meloussensis. Its description in RNAcentral is "partial 16S ribosomal RNA". It matches the Rfam family "Bacterial large subunit ribosomal RNA", at positions 1824 to 2600 of the family's 2925-position model. The record is from RNAcentral. Lineage: Eukaryota; Metazoa; Mollusca; Gastropoda; Littorinimorpha; Hydrobiidae.
CGCUCGAUGUUUUUCUUUUAUAUCGAGUCGAACCUGCCCAGUGAUUUUUAUUUAACGGCCGCAGUACUCUGACUGUGCAAAGGUAGCAUAAUCAUUUGCCUUAUAAUUGAAGGCUAGUAUGAAUGGUUUGACAAGAAUAACGCUGUCUCUUAUAGAUUCUAUAGAAUUUGGUUUUUAGGUGAAGAAACCUAAAUAUAAUUAAAAGACAAGAAGACCCUAUCGAGCUUAAAAUAAUUUUUUUGGUAUAAUGAUAACACCUUACUCAAAAAAAGAUUUUAGUUGGGGCGACUAAGGAACACAAAAAGCUUCCUAUAAACUAUAAUUACUAAUAAGUAUUGAUCCAAAAAGUUUGAUUAACAGAAUUAGUUACCGUAGGGAUAACAGCAUAAUCUUUUCUAAGAGUCCUUAUCGAAGAAAAGGUUUGUGACCUCGAUGUUGGACUAGGGUGCCCAGACAGGUGCAGAAGCCUUCAAUGGUUGGUCUGUUCGACCAUUAAUACCCUACA